Long non-coding RNA from Canis lupus familiaris (dog), 2809 nucleotides. RefSeq lists it as uncharacterized. The record is from RefSeq and is a predicted model, not a curated record. NCBI's taxonomy places the organism in Eukaryota, Metazoa, Chordata, Mammalia, Carnivora, Canidae. The transcript is spliced from 5 exons.
GGAGAACGUGAUGAUGAGAUGAUGAUGAUUCGGCUGAGAUCUGAGGGGUCAAUAGAAACCUAAAUGACUUAGUUCAGGUUGUUACUUUGCAGAUGUGCGAUCAGCUUCCCAUUUGGCCACGUAAAUCAGAGGCUCUCAGACUUGAGUGUGCUGAAUCACAUGGGGCUUGGCUCGUAGACCCGCGCUGGGCCUUGACCACGGAGUCCGGUCUCGGGAGGAGGAGGCUCAUCUUCCUCCGCCCCCUCCCAACACAAUGGUGUACUGCAGAUGCAUUUUGCAGAUGUAAGCCUGAACCUCAAUGUCAGGCAAGCCAGAAGUGCACUCCAGAGAGCAGGGCGAGCAGUCGGCCAGAAACACAGUGUGCGGAUGGGCUGAGAGCAGGUGGGUCCAGAGAGGGCCCCAGGGCCAUGUUUGCGCCCCCUUCCUGCAUGGCCUGAUCUCCGAGAGUCAUAUUCACUUCUCUAAUGAACGUGUCUUUAACUGGCGAGGCAGCGCUGAGCAGCCAUGAAGAACAUGACCGUGCAGAGCCAGGUCAAGAUGCAAAUCAACUGCCUCCAGUCCCGGCACCAAGGGGCAAGGAAGCACCGAGGAACCUAAGGAUGGUUCUCUUGGGUUUGUUUAUUCCUCGGUCUCUCCUGAUUCUGGCCUGAAAGAGCUAAGCCACAGUCAGAUGAUCAAAGCAACUGGUGCAAGACAAUUGCUUUGAUUUGCUGUUUGCUUCAGAUCUGGAUUACCAGCUGUAGCCUUUCUAAUCAAGCCUCUCUGAACACAGGAUUUAAACAUUGACAGAUUCCCAGAAAUUCCCUUGGUCUCAGGGGAGGCAGGCCCGAGUCUUAUUCCGGAGGUGGGCAUAUAAGCCAGUUCUGGCUACGGAACAUCGAGAAAGGUUUACUUCCUGAUAAGAGGAAGGUAUGCAAGCAGAAACCUCUCAACCCCAUGCUCCCCUCUCUUCCUUCCCUGGAGAUGGGCUAGUGACCUGGAUCUGCUGUAGAGCAAUGGGAGGAAGAAGAGGGGUCCCUCCUGGAACUCAGACUUCCUAUAGCCUCAGCACCAAUGCUAGAAACACCACCAGAUGUUUUACUGUAGAAAAAGGACUCCUUUCUUCUUUAUGCCACUGUUGACUGGACGUCACUUGAAGCUGAAAGUAUUUUUAUUGGAUAUACCUACACUUCCCAGGCUCAAUCCUGCUCAUUAAAGAGCUCUGUCCCUGACCCUGUGCACCUGGAGCUUCUUGAAUUAUUAUUGUUAUUUUUUUAAAGAUUUAUUUAUUUAUUUAUGAUAGAGAGGCAGAGACACAGGAGGAGGGAGAAGCAGGCUCCAUGCCGGGAGCCCGACGUGGGACUCGAUCCCUGGACUCCAGGAUCACGCCCUGGGCCAAAGGCAGGCACUAAACCGCUGAGCCACCCAGGGAUCCCCAGCUUCUUGAAUUAGAGCAUAAUGGCUGAAAGCACCGGUUCUGAAGCCGGACUGCCCAGGUCCAUCACCCAGCUCUACUGCCUACUAGUUGGUAGCCUUGGACAAGUUAUUUAUCCUCUCUGUGCCUCAGUUUCCUCAUCUAAUAAAUGGGGAUAAGGAAUUAUUGACUUUAUCUAAUUAUCACAGGCAGUAAAUGAGUUAAUAUAUGUAUUUCGUACCUGGCUCCUCAUAAUCAUUUAAUAUUUGCUGUUAUUAACACAAGUUUCAUCAUACUCAAUCACAAUAGCCUAAUAAUCCUCUUCCCUGAUAGGUUGUAAAGUUAAUGAAGGCAGGGGGUGCAUCUGUCUUGUUUAUUAUAUUCUCAGGGUUACUUUACUGCCCAAUAAAUAUUUACUGAAUAAGUAAACAUAGACCAUGUAAACAGUAUACAGAAGGUAAACCAAGCCAGACAUUAACCCAAACGGAAAGGCUUUGUUCACCUGAAGUCAGUGAAAGGAGUUAUAAAUUCACAGCUUUGUGAGUUCUAGAAGGCUACUGCAGGAAAAAUUUCCCAUCGUUGCUUCAAAAGACAAAACACCCAUGUGCUCAUCAGACCUCCAGUGAGCAAGUUUCAUUCCAUCAAGAAAAAAAAAACACUAGAUCAGCCAAAAGGUCAGCUCAACAGCCAGUGGUGAGCCAGUUGCCUGUAAGCAAUUGCCUUGUCCUUGUCCACAUUUGGCCUUCUGAAGACGGAGACUGUACCAAAGAUAGGCUGUGGGAAAUAACAAUAAAUCAAGGCACAACAAUUCCAGAUAAUUGUUCCUCCAGUAUCUUUCUUGGUUUGUUUUGAUUUAUCAGGCUUUUCCUUGUCAUUCAUACCAGAAGCAGAGGAACUCCCACUGUCUGCACUGUCUGGGCUUUCGACUCAUCCUUACCCCUCACUUGAGCUGGAAUGUCAUGACACAAUUGUCCUUUACUGUGUGUGUGUGUGUGUGUGUGUGUGUGUGUGUGUGUGUGAAAAUAGGGAAGAAAAGUCUAGCAUGAGCAUCGUUGCAAUACAAGUACUCACUAUUUUCUGGUUAGUAUGGAGUUUUUUCCCCUCAUGUCUGCUGACAGGUAAGACAGGGGAAAAUACUCCCUGGGCCUUCAGAAAGCUUUCACCAUUGAUCCUCAUGAUAAUUGACUUUCUUAUCUCUUUCUUUUCCUUUCACUUUGAGCAAUUAUGGCAUCUUCCUUUGCAAAAGCUCAGUAAUUGGAAAACUGGUUUAUGAAUCUGGUAACCUUUUCCUCCCUAAAGGUUUUUCUCCCCAUCACACAGAAAGCUAAGGGAAAGAGAAGAGAAAGGAAAAAAUGUAUGUAUUUUGUGAGCUGUAGAAGGAUGAAAAUUAAAUUUAUUUAAUAUUCCCCUUGUUAC